AGGAGGAGCAAGGUGUGGACCUAAGAAAAUAAUAAAUUCUGUGUAACUGACAGCAAAAACACAGACAUAGGCACUGUAUUCUUGCUGAUAAUGAUAUUUCUCAAUAGAUACCAGGUUAACAGCUCUAGUACUGCUAUACAUGUGUACUGAAAUUGAACAAUUAAAUAAAUGGAGGACAUCCACGUUUAUCACUGAUGGAGUGGGAGUUUACAGAUAAGCAGGAGGAGGAGGCCAGAAAGAUGCAUGUGGUGAUGGAUUAGAAUUGAAGACGUCCUGCCCUCAAGGAGAGAGAACAUAAAAGAACAUAAAUCCCCUUUUCAUCAAUGUGAGCUGCACCAACUUACUUCCUCCCAAAGAGCACAAAAUAGAAAGGAACGAAAAGAAAAGAGCAACUUUACAGUGAAGAAACCUACAAACACUACCUCAGCCAGGAGUUUUGGAGAGUCAUUGCAUGAUGAUCUCUGAAGAUUCUACUGAAAUCUAAUCAAUAUGUCCUCACUGCCAUCAAUUCAAAAGAACUUGCUAAGAAGGCUCUAGAGACUUGUACUCUCAG
This 553-nucleotide long non-coding RNA is filed under the name Pan troglodytes (chimpanzee). Its description in RNAcentral is "long non-coding RNA NONPTRT013642". The record is from RNAcentral. Lineage: Eukaryota; Metazoa; Chordata; Mammalia; Primates; Hominidae.